Molecule: ribosomal RNA, 393 nt
Filed under: uncultured bacterium
Lineage: Bacteria
Description: partial 16S ribosomal RNA
Rfam family: Bacterial small subunit ribosomal RNA
Source: RNAcentral
CUAAGAAUAUUCCGCAAUGGACGGAAGUCUGACGGAGCGACGCCGCGUGGAUGAAGAAGGCCGAAAGGUUGUAAAGUUCUUUUGCUGGGGAAGAAUAACCGCAGGAGGGAAUGCCUGUGGGAUGACAAGAACCGGCGAAUAAGCCCCGGCCAACUACGUGCCAGCAGCCGCGGUAACACGUAGGGGGCGAGCGUUGUUCGGAAUUACUGGGCGUAAAGGGCAUGUAGGCGGCUUGGAAAGCCUGGCGUGGAAGUCUGCAGCUUAACUGCAGGGGUGCGCUGGGAACUGCUGAGCUUGAGUGACGGAGAGGGAGCUGGAAUUCCUGGUGUAGGGGUGAAAUCUGUAGAUAUCAGGAAGAACACCGAUGGCGAAGGCAAGCUCCUGGCGAUNNGA